RNAcentral lists this long non-coding RNA (2655 nucleotides) under Sus scrofa (pig). Its description in RNAcentral is "lncRNA (ENSSSCG00045038788.1)". The record is from RNAcentral. Lineage: Eukaryota; Metazoa; Chordata; Mammalia; Artiodactyla; Suidae.
AGAACACCUGCUCUGGCAAUAGGCCACGGGCAGGGCUGCUUUAUAGCGAUCAGCUGGGAGCAGUUGGGGCCGAGCCCUUCAUGUCUCGGGCUGUCCACACUCCAAGCGCGGUACGUGCGCCCAGGCCUCCAUCUUGCAUCUCAGUGUGAGCCUGGCGCUUGCGCACACAGCUUGCCUGCUAUGCUGAGGGGUGGGUGCAGCCGCUUGCCACGAGGAGGAGCUCUGGUCUGAAGCUCCUGGUGCGAGGUCUCUGCUCAGACCACCCUGUAAGCAAGUGAAACUCAACCAAGCACGAAGGAAAGAAAGGAAUUAGCCAUGACUGAGGUGAACACUGAGUAGCCAGAACAAGGCCAAGAUGAAAAAGGCUGAUUGUAUUCAUGACUGACUGGGACAGAAUGCAGGCUCUUACAAAGUCUAGAAGACCACCCACUAAGGCAAAUGACGAAUCUAGAAGACAUGAAGGAAGGAUCAUAAUUGAAGUUGUGGAGCCAGUAAUUUAGAGCUGGGAAGACAAGAUUACAGCAAAAGCAACUGGAAUUGAUAAGGGAACAUGAGAUUGGGAGAGAUAGUCCUGAGUGACAUUGCACAUUGGCUGGUGUUUGGGGAUUACCCUUGUGAGCUGGCAGGAGCAUGAAGCAAGGCUUUGUCUUCCAGCACCCCAGUGGUGGGAGAUAACGAUUUAAGUGUUUGGAAGCCAAGUUAAGUGAAAAUCUUCUUGGCACCUCGGGAGAGAGGCCAAUAGGACACCGAGUGAAGCCUAAAUAAUGCUGCAGGAUGUUGGGAUAAAGAGCUGGUUUAGUCUCCUGGGUUUGUAGACAUUGUUUUUGCUUCAGGGCUGUGAACAAGAUGCUAAAAUACAUUGCUGAUCCCUUUCCUCUGGGAGCUACAUCAGGGCUUAAACUUGAUUGAAGCACCCAACACCUGGAAAUAUUUUUAUCCUCUUCACUCCAGGCUGGAUUUGAACUGCUGACUUGGAGGCGAAAUGUUCUACAGCCCAAAUCCAAUCCAUGGAGCCAAUUAAGCUCCUUCCUCAUACAUUUCUUUGUGCUCUGUUUUGAAAAGAGAUUUUUAAGUGAUCUUAAGGAAAAAUAGGAUGUUGUUUCUACGGUUACCAUUGAUGGAAAUAUUGAUGUGAUGUAGUUUGUCUAGAGUUUUUCUCUUUUGUUAAAUAAAAAGCGUAAAUUAGCCUGUGUAUGUAAACCAAAAACAAAAAGGUAGGCCAAAAUCAAAAGAGGCGAUCAUUUGGUUAUACAUUUUUGCACAAAAGAAACAGAUAAAUUUUCUCAAAAGACUUGGCAGCUGUGCUAUUCAUAAAUGUGUGUUCAACAGAUAGUCUAGUUGCCUCACUUGUAGCUGGAGGACAUGCUGGUCCUUUCACAUCAUUUACCCAUUUGCUGAGUUUUUGAGUAGACAGUGAGACUGUAUUUCAAACCCGAGGAUUGCUUGCCAUAAACAUGGCUUCUGUCUCCCUGACAAAUGUUUUAUUAUCCCUUCUGUCUGGAUUCCUACUUUGUUCAGUCAGUUGUGUGUCUUUGUAGAGUUCAUAAGUUUCAAUGAUGGUUCUCAGAAUAUUUUUUAAACACUUCAGUUAAAAUAGCUCUUCAAAAAUCAACUAGUAUUUUCUAUAUUUCUUUAUGAGUGAAGAUGAUAAACUGGACACAGUUCUGUGACUUCUGUGCACUGGAAUAUAAUAAUUUAUGUCUGUACAGCAUUUCUCUUUCAUGCAUAUCAAUGCACAAGUUACAGUCACUUGGUUACAUGGGUAAAGCAUUCAUUCAUUCUUUCAUUUGCAUUUACUUGUUCAUAUACUUAUUGAGUACUGAUAGGUCAGGCAUUGAGCUAGGUUCCAGGUAUAAGAAAUAUGAAAAACACCAUCCUUGUCUUCUAGAAGCUUCUAGAUGGUCCCUUCUUAUGGGAGCUAAAGUAAUUUAAUACUGUAAAUUGUCUAUACAAAGUGUAGAUGGGGAGCAGGGACAGGUUGCUAAAGCUGGAUUGGAUGAACAGGAAAAUAUUUCAAAAAGAAGAAGAAUUUAGAGUAAGAUAUGAAAAGAAAAAUGUUUUUCACACAGAUUGAGGGAGGAUAUUGACACUAGAGUACUAUGACCAUGGUUGUAUAGAUGAGGAAACUAAGAUUAAAAGACUUUUCAAGGUCAUGAGGAUGGUAGAUGAGAUUUCAGGUACUUGGACUGAGAUGUUUCAUUCUGUUGCCAUUGCACUCCACUACACCAAUCAACACUUCAUAGAGACUUUUCAAAUCUUCAUAAUUCUAUAAAGCAAGAGGUAUAUACGAUUACCUUUUUUUGGGGGGGGCGGAGGUUGAGGGCUGCACCUGCAGUAUGUAAAAAUUCCCGAGCCAGGGAUUGAACCCUAGCCACUGAAAUGACAAUGCCAGGUCCUUAACCUGCUGCAUCACAUGGGAACUCCAAGGUCAUCUUGCUUGAGCAUGAGAAGGCAUUUAAAAUCUUGGGGAGAGAGAGAGGAGUUCCCGUCAUGGCUCAGUGGUUAACAUAUCAGACUAGGAACCAUGAGGUUGCGGGUUCGAUCCCUGGCCUUGCUCAGUGGGUUAAAGAUCCCGCAUUGCUGUGGCUGUGGUGUAGGCCGGCAGCUACAGCUCCGAUUAGACUCCUAGCCUGGGAACCUCCAUAUGCUGCAGAA